CACUGAGCCAUCUCACCAGCC
RNAcentral lists this non-coding RNA (21 nucleotides) under Mus musculus (house mouse). The record is from RNAcentral. Lineage: Eukaryota; Metazoa; Chordata; Mammalia; Rodentia; Muridae.